AUUGAACGCUGGCGGCAUGCCUUACACAUGCAAGUCGAACGGCAGCGGACCUUCGGGUGCCGGCGAGUGGCGAACGGGUGAGUAAUAUAUCGGAACGUACCUUUCGAGUGGGGGAUAACGUAGCGAAAGUUACGCUAAUACCGCAUAUUCUGUGAGCAGGAAAGCAGGGGAUCGCAAGACCUUGCGCUGAUUGAGCGGCCGAUGUCAGAUUAGCUAGUUGUGGGUAAAGGCCCACCAAGGCGACGAUCUGUAGCGGGUCUGAGAGGAUGAUCCGCCACACUGGGACUGAGACACGGCCCAGACUCCUACGGGAGGCAGCAGUGGGGAAUUUUGGACAAUGGGCGCAAGCCUGAUCCAGCCAUGCCGCGUGCGGGACGAAGGCCUC
Molecule: ribosomal RNA, 385 nt
Filed under: uncultured bacterium
Lineage: Bacteria
Description: bacterial SSU rRNA
Rfam family: Bacterial small subunit ribosomal RNA
Source: RNAcentral